RNAcentral lists this ribosomal RNA (254 nucleotides) under uncultured bacterium. Its description in RNAcentral is "partial 16S ribosomal RNA". It matches the Rfam family "Bacterial small subunit ribosomal RNA", at positions 524 to 776 of the family's 1533-position model. The record is from RNAcentral.
GACGUAGGGCGCGAGCGUUGUCCGGAUUUAUUGGGCGUAAAGAGCUCGUAGGCGGCUUGUCGCGUCGACUGUGAAAACCCGCGGCUCAACCGUGUGGUCUGCAGUCGAUACGGGCAGGCUAGAGUUCGGUAGGGGAGACUGGAAUUCCUGGUGUAGCGGUGAAAUGCGCAGAUAUCAGGAGGAACACCAAUUGCGAAGGCAGCUCGCUGGGACGUUACUGACGCUGAGACGCGAAAGCGUGGGGAGCGAACAGG